GACGAACGCUGGCGGCGUGCUUAACACAUGCAAGUCGAACGAUGAUCAGGAGCUUGCUCCUGUGAUUAGUGGCGAACGGGUGAGUAACACGUGAGUAACCUGCCCCUGACUCUGGGAUAAGCGUUGGAAACGACGUCUAAUACUGGAUACGACUGCCGGCCGCAUGGUCUGGUGGUGGAAAGAUUUUUUGGUUGGGGAUGGACUCGCGGCCUAUCAGCUUGUUGGUGAGGUAAUGGCUCACCAAGGCGACGACGGGUAGCCGGCCUGAGAGGGUAACCGGACACCCUGGGACUGAGACACGGCCCAGAGUGCUACGGGAGGCAGCAGUGGGGAAUAUUGCACAAUGGGCGAACGCCUGAUGCAGCAACGCCGCGUGAGGGAUGACGGCCUUCGGGUUGUAAACCUCUUUUAGUAGGGAAGAAGCGAAAGUGACGGUACCUGCAGAAAAAGCACCGGCUAACUACGUGCCAGCCGCCGCAGUAA
This 483-nucleotide ribosomal RNA is filed under the name uncultured bacterium. RNAcentral's name for it is "partial 16S ribosomal RNA". It matches the Rfam family "Bacterial small subunit ribosomal RNA", at positions 28 to 523 of the family's 1533-position model. The record is from RNAcentral.